AUACGGAGGGUGCAAGCGUUAAUCGGAAUUACUGGGCGUAAAGCGCGCGUAGGCGGGCUGGUUAGUUGGGGGUGAAAUCCCGAGGCUCAACCUCGGAACUGCCCUCAAUACUGCCAGUCUUGAGUUCGAGAGAGGUGAGUGGAAUUCCUAGUGUAGAGGUGAAAUUCGUAGAUAUUGGGAAGAACACCAGUGGCGAAGGCGGCCACCUGGCCCGGUACUGACGCUGAGGUGCGAAAGCGUGGGGAGCAAACAGGAUUAGAUACCCCGGUAGUCC
This 274-nucleotide ribosomal RNA is filed under the name uncultured bacterium. Its description in RNAcentral is "partial 16S ribosomal RNA". It matches the Rfam family "Bacterial small subunit ribosomal RNA", at positions 523 to 796 of the family's 1533-position model. The record is from RNAcentral.